AGAGGAUAUAUAACCCAAUUUCUCGCGAACGAAGAUCAACGACUCCGCAGGAACGUAUUUUUUGCGCGAAUUUACACGAAUUUUGGAGAACUAAAUUGUUUUCGGUCGAUCACAGCACGUCGCGAUGUCACCGUAUUUUAAUGCAGAAAAUAACGCUGUGUACGGGUGUAGCGGAAAAAAUUAAUCCGGCCGGACACGCUGAGAAAGGAAAUAAUAUUUACGAACCAAACAUGGAUGAUGCGGUGCAAUCGCCAGAGAAGAAGAACUGCACCUUUCUGUUUAAAAAACGUAAAAUUCGUAACAACGCGGCGAGAAGGCGAAAGGAAGCGGAUAACGCUGAUGACAGCAGCGAGGAUGAGACCACGGUGGUUAAAAAGGAGAAGAAGCAACGCGAUCACAAUCCUAUGAUACAAAGCACAAAUGUAAAGAAGCAGGAAGAAAAAACCGAAUAUAACGAUGAUAGUGACGAAGAUGAUGUAACUGUCACGUAUAAAAGUAAUAGAACUGCUUUGCCAGCUGGUCCGAGUGACCAAGGAGCAACAGCUAUUCUUCAGACAGAAACUGAAAAAGACAGAGAUGCUCAGGCAUUAUUUGAAAAAGCUCAAAAAAUAAAUGAGGAAUUAGAAGGAAAAGAGGAUGAUAAGAUUUAUAGGGGUUUGAAUAAUUAUGCACAAUAUUAUAAAAAGAAAGAUACUGCAGCUGGAAAUGCAUCUAGUGGGAUGGUACGUAAAGGACCAAUUAGAGCACCAUCUAAUCUCAGAGCAACCGUGAGAUGGGAUUAUCAACCUGAUAUAUGCAAAGAUUACAAAGAAACUGGUUUCUGUGGUUUUGGAGAUAGCUGUAAGUUUCUUCACGAUCGAUCAGAUUAUAAAUUGGGAUGGCAAUUGGAAAGAGUUGCUGCUACUGGAGAAAGUAAUAGUGGAGAUGAAGACGAUAAAAAAUAUGAGAUUGACAGCGAUGAGGAUAACUUACCAUUUAAAUGCUUUAUUUGUAGAAACAGUUUUACAGAUCCAGUUGUUACAAAAUGCAAGCAUUAUUUUUGUGAAAAAUGUGCUUUGGAACAUUAUAGAAAAAGUACACGAUGCUAUGUUUGUAAUACCCAAACUAAUGGCACUUUUAAUCCUGCAAAAGAACUCAUUGUACGAACUAAAAUGGAGGAGAAAGAAAAAAUAACUGCAGCAAGCGAAGACGACUCUGACGACGAUUAACAAAAAUAAAAUAAUCCCUUCCAAACGUGAAAUUUUAUAAUGAUUAAUAUAUAAUAUGAAUAGAAAUUGUAAUCGUUAACAUAGAUUACUUUGAUAUAUGUUGCCGACAUAUAUAAUGUACUUAUAUUUUAUGGAACAAUUAAUGUAUACUCUAUUUCUUUGGCCGGAAUCAGUCUCUUAGAGUUUAGAAGCCGUUCCGCUAAUAAUUAUCGGGCUAAUGAUUCGCAGGGGAGACCCCUGAUCGGGGUGAAGGCGCUACAUGUUGGGGCAUCGCGACGCGAAUCGAUACACGGCGCAGGCGGCGUGUCGACGGCAGUGUUGUUUCCCUCCAUACCGUGAAAAUGUCACAAUCGCUUUUCACGGGCCGCUCCUGCCGGGACAGAGUUCCGGUGUCCCCGCCUUGCUCGCGGCGCGCGAACGCGAUAUAGGAAUCGCGCGAGAUAAAUCGGACGGCAGAAAUCAAGCGAUCUCAUUCGGAAAGAGGCGUCGCGACCGAUCACCGCGUUUCGCGGCGAAAUCACCUCCUGCUACGCCGAGAGAGAAUCGAUUCUCGACAAAAGGACACGGCGCGCAAAAGGACGCGGACUCUACGCGGUGUUGGUCCUGGACUGCGCCGCAUUUUAUUUCGACGAAGAAGCAUUUUGUUAUUCGCGAAAAAAAGUUUAUUAUCGCACCUUUGUUAAUAACGAGAGAAUCUACGUAUUUCUGAGUGCUGGGUGAUUCGCUUCGCGAAAGGUUUAACGCGAGAUCGCGCGGUGAUUGUGGGUUGCGGUUGAGGUAGGUCUUGGCGUCGCAACGACCAAGAAAGAGAGAUGGAAGAAUUUUACUGAAAGAUACCAAAGAUAUCAACUUUAGAAUUAAGAGAGAUAAUGACGUGGGAUAUCAUAAUGUUCAUUAAUAUAUCUACUCUCCUAUCUGUAUAUCUAUAUAUUACUCGUUAUGUAAAUAUUUAAAUUAUAAAUUUUGACGUUAUUAAUCCACGUCUACGACAUGAAAGUGACUAGUCAUCAGUGAUCGACGGAUCAUCAUUUUACAUCUGUCUAUACCCGGUCUAUACGUACGGAAUCGUCGUAUACGAUAUUGUUACGUAAAUUUAUUCGCGCGUUCGAUCAUAUUCGCACUCUGUCGCUGACGUAUAUGUCGCAUGUAAGGACGCGAGGGUGACUUUGUGACGAGUGAUCGACUGCAGCUGUUGACGAAGAAGUAGACGUCACACACGGCUGCUGAAUAAAACAGCAGUCUCUGAAGAGUAGUAUCAUCUUCAAGUCAAAGUGCUCCAAGUGCUUAGA
RNA transcript from Nylanderia fulva, 2497 nucleotides. It is a transcript of the gene named RING finger protein mdlc, with no coding region annotated. NCBI's taxonomy places the organism in Eukaryota, Metazoa, Arthropoda, Insecta, Hymenoptera, Formicidae. The record is from RefSeq and is a predicted model, not a curated record.